Carica papaya (papaya) is the source of this 1610-nucleotide long non-coding RNA. RefSeq lists it as uncharacterized. The record is from RefSeq and is a predicted model, not a curated record. Lineage: Eukaryota; Viridiplantae; Streptophyta; Magnoliopsida; Brassicales; Caricaceae.
AGCCGCGGAAUCGGCAGUGAGGGAAGAAUCAGAAUUUUGUGACAAGGACAACGAUAAAGAUGACAACGAUAACGAUGAACUGCUCUUGUGAAUUCCAAUUGGGUAAAUUCUCUUGAGGUGCUUCGACAAAAAAUUCUGAUAAAGAUAUCCCAUCCAUUUUUAUUCCAAUGAAGUCAAUCUUUCAAAUUUGAAGGCAGUAAGAGGGUAAAGACUGUCAAACUCUUCACCUUUAAGCGAGAAUUUGAACUGCUAAGUAUGAACGAUGGUGAAAAUUAAAGAAUUAUUCCUCAACUCCUGGAAAUUGUGAAUAGAAAAAGAUUGUUCGGAGAAGAUUUUAGUGAUCAAAAGGUCAUAAAGAAGAUGCUCAUCAGCCUACCAGCUAGAUUUGAAUAGAAAGUUCCAACAAUUAAAGAAUUGUGUGAUUUAAAAGAUCCUUCAGCUACUGAAAUUAUUAACAAACCGCAGGCACAAGAACAAAGGACCAACAUGAGGGAUGAAGCUAUAUCAGAGGGAACCUUUCGGGUAAGGCAGAAAUGGAAGCCACCUGUGAAACACUGGAAGAAACAAGGAACUGACAGAGCUGGAAAAGGAAAGAAUGCUGGUCAUUCAACUGAUGCUUGUAAAAAGGAAAAAUUUCCAAUAUGCAGUUUCUGUAAAAGGGAUAAUCAUCAAGAAAAUGAUUGUAGAUAUAAACGGAAGAAGCUCAUUCAAUGCAGAUUUUGCAAGAAGUGGGGACAUUUAUCGAGAAAUAUUGCGGAAUGAAGAAGAAUGUAGCACCAACUCAACCACAACAACAAGUCUGACUUCAUUGAUCAACAAGAACAUGAUGAUUGUGAUAAGCUGCUUAUGGCUUCUUAAUUUGAUCAAUGAAGCAAGGAUCAAACAUGGUUCAUUGAUGGUGGUUGGGCCAGCCACACGGCUAUGAACGAAGGCUUGCUUUGUGCUGUAGACAAAUCAGUGAAGUAUAAAUGCUGUCAAAUGGUUAUUCUUUGUCUUUUAAAGAUAAUCAUCGUUCCAUUUAUGAACCUCAAGAUAGCUUGAUUGCUAGAGUUGACAAAAGCUUUCCUUUAAAUUGGAAUGAGCUGUGUAAUAGAGUUACCUUAGCACAAAAAGAUGAGUCCUUGUUAUGGCAUAGAAGAUCUGGACAUUUCAAUUAUAUUGCCUUAAAGAAUUUGCAUUCUAGAGGUUUAACGAAGGAUUUAUCUGAAAUGUCAAUGGUGGAGGAUGUAUUGAGUUCCUGCCAAUUGGGAAAAAUGCAUAGGAAAUCAUUUCCAAACUAUUCUUCUUGGACGGCACAGAAAAAGUUGGAAUUAGUUCACAUAGAUGUGUGUGGACCUACAAGUGUUGAACUCAUUGAGCAAUGACAAGAACUUUGUACUUUUUAUUGACCAUUACUCAAGGAUGUCUUGGCUUUAUUGCUUGAACAAAAAAAGGCAAGUUUUUCCCGUAUUUAAAAGAUUUAAAGCCAUGGCGGAGGAAUACAGUGGAUGUAUGGUAAGCAAUUUGAGGUCUGACCAUGGAAAAGAGCAUACCUUAAAUGAAUUUGAUUAGUUUUGUGCAGACCAGGGGACUAAUCAUCAACCAACUGUUGUUUAUUCACUUUAGCAAAA